Molecule: transfer RNA, 71 nt
Filed under: Streptomyces iconiensis
Lineage: Bacteria; Bacillati; Actinomycetota; Actinomycetes; Kitasatosporales; Streptomycetaceae
Also listed under: 7 other names
Description: tRNA-Gln
Rfam family: tRNA
About the family: Transfer RNA (tRNA) molecules are approximately 80 nucleotides in length. Their secondary structure includes four short double-helical elements and three loops (D, anti-codon, and T loops).
Source: RNAcentral
UCCCGGGUCGACUAAGGGCAAGUCAGCGGUUUUUGGUGCCGUCGAUGGGGGUUCGAAUCCCUCCCCGGGAG